This 425-nucleotide ribosomal RNA is filed under the name uncultured bacterium. RNAcentral describes it as "partial 16S ribosomal RNA". It matches the Rfam family "Bacterial small subunit ribosomal RNA", at positions 354 to 796 of the family's 1533-position model. The record is from RNAcentral.
GUGGGGAAUCUUGCGCAAUGGGCGAAAGCCUGACGCAGCCAUGCCGCGUGAAUGAUGAAGGUCUUAGGAUUGUAAAAUUCUUUCACCGGGGACGAUAAUGACGGUACCCGGAGAAGAAGCUCCGGCUAACUUCGUGCCAGCAGCCGCGGUAAUACGAAGGGGGCUAGCGUUGCUCGGAAUUACUGGGCGUAAAGGGCGCGUAGGCGGACAGCUUAGUCAGAGGUGAAAGCCCAGGGCUCAACCUUGGAAUUGCCUUUGAUACUGGCUGUCUUGAGUACGGGAGAGGUGAGUGGAACUCCGAGUGUAGAGGUGAAAUUCGUAGAUAUUCGGAAGAACACCAGUGGCGAAGGCGACAUACUGGUCCAUUACUGACGCUGAGGCUCGAAAGCGUGGGGAGCAAACAGGAUUAGAUACCCGAGUAGUCC